Molecule: non-coding RNA, 261 nt
Filed under: Candidatus Frackibacter sp. WG11
Lineage: Bacteria; Bacillati; Bacillota; Clostridia; Halanaerobiales; Halobacteroidaceae
Also listed under: 2 other names
Source: RNAcentral
ACAGUCUUUGCUAGGUAAGGACUAACCAUCCACCUAUAUCGAGUGUUGCGCUUUGAAUUGGUAACAAUUCAGGUGAAGUGUACACAGAGAACUUUUUAGGCCAGAGGGAAGACCGUAAUUCCUGAAGCAUAUUGAGCCCCGUUAGUAUCGGGUCCUGGAAACAGGAGAAGAGCAGAUGACGACGUAGUUAACGUUGCGGAAGUCAAUACGAAGGAAUUGUAAAAGGUGAGAUUCCGGAGGGUCUGUCGGGGUCAGAGAACC